This 399-nucleotide ribosomal RNA is filed under the name uncultured eukaryote. RNAcentral describes it as "partial 18S ribosomal RNA". It matches the Rfam family "Eukaryotic small subunit ribosomal RNA", at positions 592 to 976 of the family's 1831-position model. The record is from RNAcentral.
CAAUAGCGUAUUCUAACGUUGCUGCAGUUAAAAGGCUCGUAGUCGAACCUAUGGCUUUUUUUUGCGGGCCUGGCCCCGUGCCAAGUUGCACGCGUGUUUGCCGGCGCCCGCGAGCCAUCCUUCUGGAGAGCGCCCCUGCCCUUGAUUGGGUCGGGCGGCGCAAUCCAGAUCCUUUACUGUGAGUAAAUCAGAGUGUUCAAAGCAGGCUUGCGCAGCUUGUAUGCAUUAGCAUGGAAUAAUGAGAUAGGACUUGGGUCUCUAUUUCGUUGGCUUUCAGGAACCAAGUAAUGAUGAAAAGGGAUAGUUGGGGGUGCUAGUAUUCAGUGGUCAGCGGUGAAAUGCAUGGACCCACUGAAGACUAACUCAUGCGAAAGCAUUCACCAAGGAUAUCUUCUUUGA